Molecule: ribosomal RNA, 279 nt
Filed under: uncultured bacterium
Lineage: Bacteria
Description: partial 16S ribosomal RNA
Rfam family: Bacterial small subunit ribosomal RNA
Source: RNAcentral
UGCCAGCAGCCGCGGUAAUACGAAGGUCCCAAGCGUUAAUCGGAAUUACUGGGCGUAAAGCGCGCGUAGAUGGUUUAUUCAGUUGGGUGUGAAAUCCCUGGGCUCAACCCAGGAACUGCAUUCAAAACUUAUAAACUAGAGUACGAAAGAGGAGAGUAGAAUUCAUGGUGUAGCGGUGAAAUGCGUAGAUAUUAUGAAGAAUACCAGUGGCGAAGGCGGCCUCCUGGAUCUGUACUGACACUGAGGUGCGAAAGCGUGGGUAGCGAACAGGAUUAGAUA